RNAcentral lists this ribosomal RNA (603 nucleotides) under uncultured Lachnospiraceae bacterium. Its description in RNAcentral is "bacterial SSU rRNA". It matches the Rfam family "Bacterial small subunit ribosomal RNA", at positions 135 to 754 of the family's 1533-position model. Lineage: Bacteria; Bacillati; Bacillota; Clostridia; Lachnospirales; Lachnospiraceae. The record is from RNAcentral.
AGAGGGGAAUAACAUUCUGAAAAGAAUGCUAAUACCGCAUGAGAUCGUAGUAUCGCAUGGUACAGCGACCAAAGGAGCAAUCCGCUGAAAGAUGGACUCGCGUCCGAUUAGCUAGUUGGUGAGAUAAAGGCCCACCAAGGCGACGAUCGGUAGCCGGACUGAGAGGUUGAACGGCCACAUUGGGACUGAGACACGGCCCAGACUCCUACGGGAGGCAGCAGUGGGGGAUAUUGCACAAUGGGGGAAACCCUGAUGCAGCAACGCCGCGUGAAGGAAGAAGGUCUUCGGAUUGUAAACUUCUGUCCUCAGGGAAGAUAAUGACGGUACCUGAGGAGGAAGCUCCGGCUAACUACGUGCCAGCAGCCGCGGUAAUACGUAGGGAGCAAGCGUUGUCCGGAUUUACUGGGUGUAAAGGGUGCGUAGGCGGAUCUGCAAGUCAGUAGUGAAAUCCCAGGGCUUAACCCUGGAACUGCUAUUGAAACUGUGGGUCUUGAGUGAGGUAGAGGCAGGCGGAAUUCCCGGUGUAGCGGUGAAAUGCGUAGAGAUCGGGAGGAACACCAGUGGCGAAGGCGGCCUGCUGGGCCUUAACUGACGCUGAGGCAC